Molecule: ribosomal RNA, 675 nt
Filed under: Shigella flexneri
Lineage: Bacteria; Pseudomonadati; Pseudomonadota; Gammaproteobacteria; Enterobacterales; Enterobacteriaceae
Description: bacterial SSU rRNA
Rfam family: Bacterial small subunit ribosomal RNA
Source: RNAcentral
AAAUUGAAGAGUUUGAUCAUGGCUCAGAUUGAACGCUGGCGGCAGGCCUAACACAUGCAAGUCGAACGGUAACAGGAAACAGCUUGCUGUUUCGCUGACGAGUGGCGGACGGGUGAGUAAUGUCUGGGAAACUGCCCGAUGGAGGGGGAUAACUACUGGAAACGGUAGCUAAUACCGCAUAACGUCGCAAGACCAAAGAGGGGGACCUUCGGGCCUCUUGCUAUCGGAUGUGCCCAGAUGGGAUUAGCUAGUAGGUGGGGUAACGGCUCACCUAGGCGACGAUCCCUAGCUGGUCUGAGAGGAUGACCAGCCACACUGGAACUGAGACACGGUCCAGACUCCUACGGGAGGCAGCAGUGGGGAAUAUUGCACAAUGGGCGCAAGCCUGAUGCAGCCAUGCCGCGUGUAUGAAGAAGGCCUUCGGGUUGUAAAGUACUUUCAGCGGGGAGGAAGGGAGUAAAGUUAAUACCUUUACUCAUUGACGUUACCCGCAGAAGAAGCACCGGCUAACUCCGUGCCAGCAGCCGCGGUAAUACGGAGGGUGCAAGCGUUAAUCGGAAUUACUGGGCGUAAAGCGCACGCAGGCGGUUUGUUAAGUCAGAUGUGAAAUCCCCGGGCUCAACCUGGGAACUGCAUCUGAUACUGGCAAGCUUGAGUCUCGUAGAGGGGGGUAGA